AUGUCUUCCUCCACCUCCGCCUUCCAGCCAACGCUUAGUGGUGGAGUCCUGGAGAAACUCUCCCGCACCAACUACGUUCUGUGGCGGACACAGAUCACGCCGCAGCUGCGGGGCGCCGGCGUCUUCCAGUAUGUCGAUGGCACGGCAACCGAGCCGGCAAAAACCCAUGUCACCAAGGAUGCCGCUGGGAAGGAAACCGAGGGGCCGAAUCCCCUCCAUCCGCUAUGGGUGAAGGAGGAUCAGCAGGUCCUUGGAUACCUGCUCCAAAACCUCUCCAAGGAGGUGCUCGUCACGGUGACCAGAUCACCAUGGCGAGGGAUCUAUGGGUGGCGCUGGCGAGCAUGUACUCGUCGCAGUCACUCUGCCGCGUCAACAACAUCCGCACGGCGUUGA
RNAcentral lists this ribosomal RNA (393 nucleotides) under Triticum aestivum (bread wheat). RNAcentral describes it as "partial small subunit ribosomal RNA". Lineage: Eukaryota; Viridiplantae; Streptophyta; Magnoliopsida; Poales; Poaceae. The record is from RNAcentral.